GCUGGCGGCGUGCCUAACACAUGCAAGUCGAACGAGAAAGUGGAGCAAUCCAUGAGUAAAGUGGCGACCGGGUGAGUAACACGUGACUAACCUACCCUGAAGUGGGGAAUAACCUCGGGAAACCGGGGCUAAUACCGCAUAACAUCGCGAGGGGCAGAUCCUAGUGAUCAAAGGAGCAAUUCGCUUUAGGAGGGGGUCGCGGCUGAUUAGCUAGUUGGUGAGGUAACGGCUCACCAAGGCAAAGAUCAGUAUCCGGCCUGAGAGGGCGCACGGACACACUGGAACUGAAACACGGUCCAGACUCCUACGGGAGGCAGCAGUGGGGAAUUUUGCGCAAUGGGGGAAACCCUGACGCAGCAACGCCGCGUGGAGGAUGAAGUCCCUUGGGAUGUAAACUCCUUUCGAUCGGGACGAUUAUGACGGUACCGGAAGAAGAAGCACCGGCUAACUCUGUGCCAGCAGCCGCGGUAAUACAGAGGGUGCAAGCGUUGUUCGGAAUUAUUGGGCGUAAAGGGCGCGUANGCGGUGCGGUAAGUCCGCAGUGAAAUCUCUGGGCUCAACUCA
Molecule: ribosomal RNA, 564 nt
Filed under: uncultured bacterium
Lineage: Bacteria
Description: bacterial SSU rRNA
Rfam family: Bacterial small subunit ribosomal RNA
Source: RNAcentral